UGUUGCGGUUAAAAAGCUCGUAGUUGGAUUUCUGUUGAGGAUGACCCGUCCGCUCUUUGAGCGCGUAUCUGGUUCAGCCUUGGCAUCCUCUUGGGGAACGCUACUGUGCUUGAUUGCAUGGGGCGGUAUUCAAGACUUUUACUUUGAGGAAAUUAGAGUGUUCACUGCAAGCGUUAGCAAUUGAAUACAUUAGCAUGGAAUAAUAAUAUAGGACCUUGGUACUAUUUUGUUGGUUUCUAGAACUAAGGUAAUGAUUAAUAGGGACAAUUGGGGGCAUUCGUAUUAACGCGUCAGAGGUGGAAUUCUUAGAUUGCGUUACGACGAACUACUGCGAAAGCAUUUGCCAAGGAUGUUUUCAUUGAUCAAGAACGAAAGUAUGGGGAUCGAAGAC
RNAcentral lists this ribosomal RNA (391 nucleotides) under uncultured marine eukaryote. RNAcentral's name for it is "SSU rRNA". It matches the Rfam family "Eukaryotic small subunit ribosomal RNA", at positions 611 to 1005 of the family's 1831-position model. The record is from RNAcentral.